UGGUCACAUUACGCUGAAAUAACUGUUCCCGUAAGAUCGCAAAAGUUAAGCAAUGUUGAGCCUGGUUAGUACCGAGAUGGGUGACCGCUUGGGAAUACCAGGUUCUGUA
Molecule: non-coding RNA, 109 nt
Organism: Acanthosepion pharaonis
Lineage: Eukaryota; Metazoa; Mollusca; Cephalopoda; Sepiida; Sepiidae
Source: the annotation of a GenBank genome assembly